GUAAUAAUAGAUCAUAAUCCUCGUAAUUAAAUAAGGAAACAAAUCAUGAAAUCUAAAUAAAUAUGAAUACAAUUCUAAGGGAUAACAAGGACAAAUGGAAGGCGGACAUAUGGAAGGCAGACAUACGAGAUAAUAUUAAUACUCAAGAUAUAAUAAACUGAUAAUUGGAUAUCUUUCAUUUACACUAGCACUAACAUUUUACCUUUGUUUAGUUGUCUAUUGUCUUUUAUAUUCCCCUCUACCUUUUAUACUAGUUUUCAUAUUUCGCUAGUUCUAAGGAAGGAAAGAAAGAAGUUUUAUACAAUAUAGAUAAUUAGCAAAAGACCUAAUGGUUCUUUUCCGUUUCUAUUUGAGUAUAUAGAUAAAUGCCUCCCUUACAGCCAUUUGAGAGUAUUCACAUAAAAUAGAAGUUUAACAGAGAAAAGAAAAACAAUUUUGUUGGUUACUAUUCAAGUAUUUAUCUCUUCCACUCUCAGGAAACUUGCAAAUAAGUUUUUCGUAUAUAUUAUAAUUUAUAACUAAAAGUGCAAUCUAAAUGCACCUGCCGUCUCAUAGUCAGUCCCAUGCCUGGAUAAAGGAGGUGGGUUGUGUUAGGCCUUCGACAACCAACACAAAACACACCAAUAAAACACAUGGAUCACUCACUAUUUGAAAUGUCACAUUGAUAUCUCUCUCUUCAAAACUAAUUAAAUGUAAACAACAAAAUAUUGAAACUAUAGACAUACCCUGGAGUACCUUGCUUCAGAUUUGUCUAGAAAUUCAUCAGGAUAUCUGUGUUGAUAUUGUUGCCGCCACCGAAACGAGAAUUCUUGAAAUGCGUAAACUACAGGAUCAAUUUUCGGAAUGACCACU
Molecule: small RNA, 852 nt
Filed under: Vigna angularis var. angularis
Lineage: Eukaryota; Viridiplantae; Streptophyta; Magnoliopsida; Fabales; Fabaceae
Description: Non-protein coding transcript
Source: RNAcentral